AACAGGAUUAGAUACCCUGGUAGUCCACGCCGUAAACGAUGUCGACUUGGAGGUUGUGCCCUUGAGGCGUGGCUUCCGGAGCUAACGCGUUAAGUCGACCGCCUGGGGAGUACGGCCGCAAGGUUAAAACUCCAAUGAAUUGACGGGGGCCCGCACAAGCGGUGGAGCAUGUGGUUUAAUUCGAUGCAACGCGAAGAACCUUACCUACUCUUGACAUCCAGAGAACUUUCCAGAGAUGGAUUGGUGCCUUCGGGAACUCUGAGACAGGUGCUGCAUGGCUGUCGUCAGCUCGUGUUGUGAAAUGUUGGGUUAAGUCCCGCAACGAGCGCAACCCUUAUCCUUUGUUGCCAGCGAUUCGGUCGGGAACUCAAAGGAGACUGCCAGUGAUAAACUGGAGGAAGGUGGGGAUGACGUCAAGUCAUCAUGGCCCUUACGAGUAGGGCUACACACGUGCUACAAUGGCAUAUACAAAGAGAAGCGACCUCGCGAGAGCAAGCGGACCUCAUAAAGUAUGUCGUAGUCCGGAUUGGAGUCUGCAACUCGACUCCAUGAAGUCGGAAUCGCUAGUAAUCGUGGAUCAGAAUGCCACGGUGAAUACGUUCCCGGGCCUUGUACACACCGCCCGUCACACCAUGGGAGUGGGUUGCAAAAGAAGUAGGUAGCUUAACCUUCGGGAGGGCGCUUACCACUUUGUGAUUCAUGACUGGGGUGAAGUCGUAACAAGGUAACC
This 730-nucleotide ribosomal RNA is filed under the name uncultured bacterium. Its description in RNAcentral is "bacterial SSU rRNA". It matches the Rfam family "Bacterial small subunit ribosomal RNA", at positions 771 to 1501 of the family's 1533-position model. The record is from RNAcentral.